RNAcentral lists this non-coding RNA (23 nucleotides) under Cricetulus griseus (Chinese hamster). The record is from RNAcentral. Lineage: Eukaryota; Metazoa; Chordata; Mammalia; Rodentia; Cricetidae.
UCCGAGUCGCCCGGGAAGUGUGG